GGAAGGCAAAUUUGACUUUGUGUUUUGUCGCUCUGGGGUAAAACAGGAAGGAUAGGGUCCCCUGAGCCAGGAUCGGUGACAGCUGCGGAUCUUGCCUCUCUCCGCGCUCAGAAAUGCAGUGCUCUGUCGCCACCUGGUGGGAGGAGCAGAUAAUACGAGGGGUGGCCCCUUCGGAUGCGACCACUCACCCUACCACAGAGAGAAUGUUCCCAUUCCAACCCAGAGGAAGAGGCAUCAAUGGCCUGCAUGGUGUUGUGGAACCCACAGUGACUCUCCAUACAGACUGUCCCUGAGCCAACUAAGUAUUGAAACCUCAACAAACUGUGAGCUAAAUAAACC
Long non-coding RNA from Heterocephalus glaber (naked mole-rat), 339 nucleotides. The record is from Ensembl. NCBI's taxonomy places the organism in Eukaryota, Metazoa, Chordata, Mammalia, Rodentia, Bathyergidae.